UACGGAGGGGGCUAGCGUUGUUCGGAAUUACUGGGCGUAAAGCGCACGUAGGCGGACUGCUAAGUCGGGGGUGAAAUCCUGAGGCUCAACCUUAGAAUUGCCUUCGAUACUGGCGGUCUCGAGUGCGGGAGAGGUGAGUGGAAUUCCCAGUGUAGAGGUGAAAUUCGUAGAUAUUGGGAAGAACACCAGUGGCGAAGGCGGCUCACUGGCCCGCAACUGACGCUGAGGUGCGAAAGCGU
This 239-nucleotide ribosomal RNA is filed under the name uncultured bacterium. Its description in RNAcentral is "partial 16S ribosomal RNA". It matches the Rfam family "Bacterial small subunit ribosomal RNA", at positions 524 to 762 of the family's 1533-position model. The record is from RNAcentral.